RNAcentral lists this transfer RNA (81 nucleotides) under Ustilaginoidea virens. RNAcentral's name for it is "tRNA-Leu (TAA) (tRNA-Leu-TAA-1-1)". It matches the Rfam family "tRNA". Rfam says of the family: Transfer RNA (tRNA) molecules are approximately 80 nucleotides in length. Their secondary structure includes four short double-helical elements and three loops (D, anti-codon, and T loops). Lineage: Eukaryota; Fungi; Ascomycota; Sordariomycetes; Hypocreales; Clavicipitaceae. The record is from RNAcentral.
ACCAAGAUGGCCGAGUGGUUAAGGCGAUGGACUUAAGUUCCAUUAUCGUAAGAUGCCUGGGUUCGAACCCCAGUCUUGGUA